This 560-nucleotide long non-coding RNA is filed under the name Manihot esculenta (cassava). Its description in RNAcentral is "long non-coding RNA (MESC_LNC012628)". Lineage: Eukaryota; Viridiplantae; Streptophyta; Magnoliopsida; Malpighiales; Euphorbiaceae. The record is from RNAcentral.
UCAGCUUCAACGGCAAAACAUCUCCUCCUUCCCUUCAAGCUCUCCAUACAUGCAUAUAUCAACUCCUCAACACACAUAUACAUAAGUAUAUGAUCACAGGGGUCCAAAACUAUCUAAUAACCCCAAACAACAAAUCAAACAUAACACAUAAACAUGUAUACAUGCAUAAAUCAUCAAAACUAUCAUUUAUAACCUAAGCAUGCAUCUCCUUCCACAAAUCCUCCUAAAACCUUCAGAAAACAUCUAAACAAGUUCCAAAGCUUCACUUACCUCCUGUAUAACAAGAAGAUGACCAAUCCUCACGUGAAGUUUUGGACAAACUCUCCUUCACACACCGUAACUCUUAACUCUUAACUUUUAUGCACAAAACCUUCAAACACUUAGCAAACCAACAGACAUUCUGUAUGAGCUGCUGAAAACACUUGCAGAUGAGUCAUAAAAGACGUGGCUAACUCAUGGCAAAAAUCUGAGGCCAACAUCUGUCAUAAGCCAUGACUCAGCUAGCUGGCCAACUCAUCGUCGGCUGCCCAAUCACAUGCAAGACCAUGCAAUCGUUCGAG